CGGGCGGACGGGUGAGUAACGCGUGGGUAACCUGCCUCAGUACAGGGGGAUAACAGUUGGAAACGGCUGCUAAUACCGCAUAAGCGCACAGUACCGCAUGGUACCGUAGUGAAAAACUCCGGUGGUAUGAGAUGGACCCGCGUCUGAUUAGGUAGUUGGUGGGGUAACGGCCUACCAAGCCGACGAUCAGUAGCCGACCUGAGAGGGUGACCGGCCACAUUGGGACUGAGACACGGCCCAA
RNAcentral lists this ribosomal RNA (241 nucleotides) under uncultured bacterium. RNAcentral describes it as "partial 16S ribosomal RNA". It matches the Rfam family "Bacterial small subunit ribosomal RNA", at positions 95 to 334 of the family's 1533-position model. The record is from RNAcentral.